Molecule: long non-coding RNA, 111 nt
Organism: Pollicipes pollicipes
Lineage: Eukaryota; Metazoa; Arthropoda; Thecostraca; Pollicipedomorpha; Pollicipedidae
Exons: 3
Source: RefSeq, a predicted model, not a curated record
AGAUGUGGCUGAUUAUUGGUGUUAUAGUCAUAGUGCUUAUCAUUAUCAUUGCCGUUAACUUUAUGUAACGCCAGCCGGGAGCUCGUAGGCGGGCGGUGCGGCCCGGCCCAG